RNAcentral lists this long non-coding RNA (777 nucleotides) under Homo sapiens (human). RNAcentral's name for it is "HSALNT0349157". The record is from RNAcentral. Lineage: Eukaryota; Metazoa; Chordata; Mammalia; Primates; Hominidae.
CUCUUAGGGAAAACCAGCACCAAAGUUCUAGAGUCUGGACGUCUGAGAUCAGGGUGCCAGCACUGUCGAGGUCACAGACUGCAGACCUCCUUGUAUCUUCAAAUGGAGGAAAGAGGACAAGAGAGCUCCUGUGGUCCCUUUUAUCAAGAUGAAUGCACAAGGAAAAUGUUGUACAUUUGCACAUUGGAGUACACUUCAGCCAUAAAAAGAAUGAGAUGCUGUCAUUUGCAACAACAGGUCAACAGCAAUCUGAGACACACUCUUCUCAUGGCAGAUUAUGGGACCAUAAAGCAGGAGAAGAGAAAGGAAGCUGCAGUCCCUGUAUAACUCCUAAAUUUUUAAUUUGGAGUUCCUCUUCUUCGGUGCAACAAUCUUUCUGCAUGCACAGAUCCAUGUGGCACUCAUCUCAUCAUUCUGAGGGAAGAAAGAUGCAUAGGGAAUGUUGCAUGUGGUUAUUUCUGCAGAACCCACAGAAAACAAUAAAGCACGAGAGAAAAGAGGAUGGCAGUUUACCCAGGAAACAUAGGUUGUGCAAAGCUUUGCAAUGAUACUCUCAAUUCAGAGCAAUGAAGAACAGAAUGCUGUCUUCCCAUAAUGAUGGCAUUCAAUUAUCACUAGACUUACAAGACUACAGAAAAUUUCUCAAGAACCAGUAAGGAUCAGACAGAGCCAAUGACAAUACUGAAGAAGCUUGCCAGUGGAGAAUGAAAGCUCAGUUACACAAAUUACGUUGUUGAACCAGUGCCAGAAAUAAAAUGUGAUGGACAAACUCAUUAA